GAGCACGUAGGUGGGUUUGUAAGUCAGAUGUGAAAGCCUUCUGUUCAACGGAAGAAUUGCAUCUGAAACUGCGAAUCUUGAGUAUAGGAGGGGAGAAUGGAACUUCUGGUGGAGCGGUGAAAUGCGUAGAUAUCAGAAGGAACGCCGGCGGCGAAAGCGAUUCUCUGGCCUAUUACUGACACUCAGUGUGCGAAAGCUAGGGGAGCAAACGGGAUUAGAUACCCCGGUAGUCCUAGCCGUAAACGAUGGGCACUAAGUAGAGGGAAUUACCGAUAUUCUCUCUGCCGUAGCUAACGCAUUAAGCGCCCCGCCUGGGGAGUACGGCCGCAAGGCUAAAACUCAAAAGAAUUGACGGGGGCUCGCACAAGCGGUGGAGCAUGUGGCUUAAUUCGAUGCAACGCGAAAAACCUUACCGGGGCUUGACAUGGUAGAAGUAGGAACCCGAAAGGGUGACGAACGGUAUCCAGUCCGUAGCUAUCACAGGUGUUGCAUGGCUGUCGUCAGCUCGUGUCGUGAGACGUUGGGUUAAGUCCCCUAACGAGCGAAACCCUUGUUUUUAGUUGCCAGCGGGUUGUGCCGGGCACUCUAGAAAGACUGCCGUCGUCAAGACGGAGGAAGGUGGGGAUGACGUCAAGUCAUCAUGGCCCUUAUGCCCCGGGCUGCACACGUGCUACAAUGGUCGGUACAAACGGAAGCGAAGCCGAGAGGUGAAGCGAAUCC
Molecule: ribosomal RNA, 720 nt
Filed under: uncultured anaerobic ammonium-oxidizing bacterium
Lineage: Bacteria
Description: bacterial SSU rRNA
Rfam family: Bacterial small subunit ribosomal RNA
Source: RNAcentral